UUUUUUUUUUUUUUUUUUUUUAAGGGCCACAGGGGUGGCAUAUGAAAGUUCCCAGGCUAGGGUUGAAUUGGAGCUACAGAUGCUGGCCUAUGCCACAGGCAUAGCAACACCAGAUCCUUAACCCACUGAGUGGGUCCCACAUCCUCAUGGAUACUAGUCAGGUUUGUUUCUUCUGAGCCACAAUGGGAAGACAAUCAUAGACUUACUCUUGAUGUAAGAUGUACUUACCCACAUCUUCAUGGAUACCAGUCGGGUUUGUUUCUUCUGAGCCACAGUGGGAAGACAAUCAGUAGACUUACUCUUGAUGUAAGAUGUACUUACCCACAUCUUCAUGGAUACCAGUCGGGUUUGUUUCUUCUGAGCCACAGUGGGAAGACAAUCAGUAGACUUACUUUUGAUGUAAGAUGUACUUUGUACAGUGGAUGCUUUGCUGUUUUAAUCAUUUUUGGUUCAAAUCCAAGCCAACCCACAGCCCAACAAAACCCAACCUCUGUCUCCUGACUUGACCCCUGCUGUCCAUUUUCCCACAUCCUUAAAAAAGUGCAACGUGUUCUGCUGUCUUCUUUUCUCUUCACUUCUUGGAUCUCAGCCAAAUCAACCAACUAUGUCCCAUGUAGCAAUGCUUACAGGGUAGCCUAGUGUUCCUGAGGAUAGGAUGGAGAGAAUGUGACUGUCCAUUGCUAGGACCAUGAAGUGUCCUUCUGCUCAAGGUAUGCUUGGUGGGAUGAGGAGACUCUACAGGAGUAUGUCUGGAUCCUGAAAAAUGUAGGAAGGCAAAUGUAGAGCCUUGAGGUGGGAUGAUCUGGGCACUGGGGGUGUCAUAUUCGUUCCAUACCCACCCCCUUAACUUCCAGAGGAAAAAACCAUUUGUAACUGUGAGAAACAUGACAGCCUCAUCCAAAGUCCAUGCAAGUAUUUGUUCAUUCCAUAAAUAUUUGUUGAGAGCUUACUAAAGCAGUAAAGUUAAUCACACAUAGUGUGUGCUGCCAUCGUGCCAGGUGGCAUGUGGAAAUCUUCACAUCUAUCAUUGUAUUUAACCCUUACAAUACACCAUGAAGUGCAUUGCUAUUUUGCAGGUGAGGAAAUUGAGGUGCAGAGAGGAAGAGGAAGAUGUCUGAGGUUGCACAUCUUGAAAGUGGAAGCUGGGUUUGCAAACAUGUCCUCUGACCCUAGAGGUUCCCCCCACCUGUAUUUAAUGACCACAUUCUAUUACUAAAGGCCCCACACUGAAGAUACUGAAGAGUGUAAAACAGAUGUCUGCCUGAUAUUAAGAUGGUCAACUGUCCCGGUUAGUGUGGGGCGGUCCCAGUAUCAGCGUUGAAGUCAUAGCCUAGGGCAUCCCUCAGCAUCAGACAAACCGAGACAGUUGGUUGUCAAUACUGCUAAUGCAGAUCUGUUUCUCCUUUGGGCAUGGAGAGGCUUAUCACAACUGUGCCCAAGGGAUUGAUGCCUCCUUGAUAUGUUAGUUCUAUUAAGCAGUACUGAAGGGGCCAAUGGUGUGGACUCCCCAAGAUGCUUCAGAGUGAACUUUUCAGCCCUUCUAGGUGCCCAUGAGGACGUAAACAGAACAAGGGAACGUGGCUCCAGGGCUGAGAAAUCUGAGCACAGAGAGGAGUCAGGGGAGUGUUUUCUAUGCACUCCUAAUUUCCCUCUCUCCCUCUUUUAGGGCCUGUUACCCACUUCUUUGUCUAUUUGAAUCUUUCUUUUAGGCAGAGAUUUCACUGCUUAAUAGUUGACUCUCCAAUGAGAUAGGUGCAUCCUGCUAUAGUCUUCUUACCAUGUACAGAUACAAGUUCAUUAAAGGAAACUGACUUUGAUUAAUUUUCUUCAAGAAUGUCCUUUAGUGCAGAAAAGAAUCAAAUACUUCUCUUCUUGUCUAGCAGCUAUUCUGGCUGCCACGUGUAAUGGGCGCAGGUUUAGACUGAUGGAAGCCUUGGAUUUUACAUCUGUUUUGCAUCUGUUCUUCUCUUUCCUGUCAUCAUCACAUGCAUUCUAAUUGCGCCUUAUUUAUAGUUCGAGGUGCUCCCUAUUAGACUAUAAACUCCUCGAGGGUAGAGACCACGUUGGUUUUAUUUUUCACUAUUUUUUAAUUACACAUUCAGCACGUGGUAUGGCAUAUGGUAUUCACUCAGUGAAUAUUUCUUGAAUGAGUGAAUGAAUUCCGUAUCGGAGCAACAAUAACAUUCAAUUCAAGUUCAACUUUUCAGGCUUCACCUUGCAAAAAGUAAGACAGGAAGAAUUGACAAAGUUUUGUGUGUGAUCCUAGGUUGGGAUCUACAGACUCGUCCACUGUGUACAAAACAGCUAACAUUUAUCCAGUGUAUGUUAUGCACCGAGCAUGUGUAUGUAGUAACAUAUACACACGCUCAUCUAGUUCUUACUUGAUUUCAUGAAAGAUAAAACAAAUUCAAAAAGCGAUUAAAUAACUUGGCAAAUAUUAAGUAAUAAGUGAUCUAAACUUAUCACUAACCAGAACUUCACUUAGGAAACCUGACUCUGGUUUUUAACCACUGUGGAGAGCUGUCCUUUCUACAUACCUUGCGCUCUCCCUCCCUCUCGCUCUCUCUCUCCCUCUAACCCCUUUGCCCCCUUCUUCCUCUCUCUCAUACCUUGUGGUUGACAUUCUGAGUGUUGCCCAGCAAUCUGACCCUGGGUCAUGCACCAUAUUCCUUAGAAAGCCAUUGAUCAAAAUUCAGGGGUCAGAAGAUAGCCUCUUUCAUCCCCAAAGGGGCUCUUUACAUAUGCUUUUAUUAUCUAAUUUGUUAUUCUCUCAUUAAAGGGAAGUAUAUUUUCGGCCCAAAUAAAAUUUACCUUGGCACUUGUAUAUUCCAUAUCAGUCUCUUAGGAAAUAAAUGUUGUGCUACCAUGGAAAGCAUUCCAAAGGCAUAGAUUUGUUGACAGUUGCAGAACUAUGGAAUUUGGAACCCUUCAAAAAUGGGAAGGAAAAUAAGGCUGCUUAGAUGGGAUUAUUGUCAAGGACCAUGUGAUUAGGACUUCAAAUUCAAACUACAUUAAAUCUAAAUACAGAAUUGUGAUGGAGAGAUCAAAGGAUGUAUUAGUUGAAAGAGUGCUCAGGUGGCCACUCUUGCGUAAGUCUUUUCUAGCUUCACUGAGCCAAUGUCCCACUUUUCUGUGGAGCUGAUGAUGUGUCCUGGCCUUGGAGUUACAGGUUCCCCUAGUGACCCUGUGCCUGAUGCUGCCCCAAGUUCCUGACCCAUAGAGCAUAUCUCGAACUUGUCUCUUCCAGCCAUCAUAAAAAGCCCAAGUAACACAGCUAUGCACUAAGUGAUGGACAUACACUAUAAACAAAUUAUAGUUUUGAAGGCCAUGGCAGGACUUCUAGAGAUGGAAUGAGGGGCAAUUCCCUGUGAUGAGUUUUACACAAUAGCUGACAGUUUCAUAGAUUCUUUGCACCUUGGGGAUACUGUAGUUUUGGGGGAAAAUAACUGUGAGGAAAUAAGAGCAACUGUACCACAUACUAAAUUUUGGCUCUGAUGCUGUAAUAACAACAAAAGUCAGCAAAGAGUGGGCAAGGCAAAAUCCUCUAUAGGAAACACUGAAAGUUUAAUUACUGGUAUUUACUUGUACUUUUCUGAAUAUUACCCAUUUUCGUAAAUAGGUGAAAGUACUCGGUGAUGCUUUGCUUUCCACAGAUGAAAUAUUUCUUAAAAUGGUGGAAUGAAGAAUCCAUGAAAAUCAGUCAACCCCAAAACUUCCCCAAAUCUUCAAAAAUCUGUUCAACCUCAUCCAGCACUAAUUGCUGUAAACUUACAGUUAAGGGAAGCAACAUUUAAACACACUGAUAAUUUAGUGAACCGACUCUUUGUUUAAUUGAUUUUUCAGCAAAAUGCUUUUUUCAACAUGAGCCCCGUUCCCCAAAGGCCUCCUUUUCCCAGCUGCCAUCUGAAGCAUAUCCUGUAUCACAAAUGGAUAUCCAGUGGGAACUCCUGAAAUUGUCUGGGAUUGCCAACCCCAGGAGAGGUGGAGAUGGCUCCCCUCUUAGCCAUGCUGACAAUCAUCCUCUCCUGAUGUGCCCUAUUAAGGAGGGAUGUGAGCUUUCUUUUCCCUAAGGUUUCCAGCAACUUUUUGCUCUUUCCUUGCCUGUUCUUAGAACCUUGGAUGCCUUUUCUUUUCCCCAAACCUGGCCUCAUUUGUUAUAUUCUCUCACAGUCUAGUUCUCAAUUAAUUUCUCCACACUGUCUCCCUCUCCUCAGCCUGUAACCAUGCACACCACACAUGCAUUCCUUGGCACUCAGUUCCCCCAGCUACCCUUCCCACUACUUGCUGUUGUCUCAUCUUCACUAUUCUACUUCUUAUUAAAUUCCAAACCAAUAAUAUUCGGCUUUCAAGUAUUAUUUCAGUUCCCACUGAAAAUGUUCUCAAAACUUUCAGUGAUUUCUGGAGUUCCCAUUGUGGCUAAGCAGAUUAAGAACCCAACAUAAUGUUGGGUGAUGAUGAGCGGUUCAAUCCCUGGCCUCACUCAGUGGGUUAAGGAUCCAGUGUUGCCACAAGCUGCUCUGUAGGUUGAAGAUGUGGCUAGGGUCCAGCGUUGCGGUGGCAUAGGCCUCAGCUGCAGCUCUUGAUUCCACCCCUAGCCUGGAAACUUCCAUCUGCUGCAGAUGCGGCCAUAAAAAGAAAAAGAUUAUCAAUGGUUUCUUAAUUUCUAAAUUUGUGACCUUUUAUUGGUCAGUGUCCCUAAAAGCUUCUACCAACACCAUUCUCUCAUAGUUCUUUUACUUCUGUUUGGCUCUCUCUUUUUAGUCUCUUUUGCUGGAUGUUCCUCCACAAUUUUCUUCAAGUAGAGUUCUACACAAGUGUUAAUGGAAUUAUUGUUAUCAGCUGAUCAAUGCUUUCAUUCAGAAAAGGGAUAGGAGGUUUGCUUUUUAUAUCAAGACUGAUCCACACAUAGGUCAAGUGGAAGGAAAAAGUCCCUUUGAAUUCUACUUUGAACCCUUUUCCUGGCUCCUAGCUACUCUAGUGGCAGUGGAAAAGUAAGCAGAAGUGAUGUGAUGUUGCAAUAGCAUCAGAGACACUUUGUAUCUUGAGAUCACAAAGAAGUCAUGGGAUUCUAAGCCUGAUUCUGGAGAAUAAAUCUAGUGCAAGGUGGUCAGUGAACAUGGGGAUAUGAGAGGGCAGCAGUCAGAUUCCUGGAUUUUGGAGUGCUAUGGGAUGAAUUGCACCCCACCCCCAAAUUCAUAUGUUGAUGUCCUGACCCCAUUUCCUCAGAAUGUCACUAUAUUUGGAGAUAGUUUUUAAAGAGGUAAUUGAAUUAACACAGGGCUGUUAGGGUGGAGUCCUAAGCCAAUAGGAUCAGUGUCCUUAUCAGAAGAGGAGGAGACACUAGGGGGUGUGUGUCGAGGGACAUCCCUAUGCAGAGGCUAUAAGAGGGUGGCCAUCUGCAGGUCAUAGAGACCUCAGGAGAAACCAGAUCUGCAUUGUAGGUCAAAGAUGUGGCUGGGAUCCACCUUGCUCUUAGACUUGUAGCAUCCAGCACUAUAAGGAGAUCAGUUUCUGUUCUUUAAGCCACCCAGUCUGUGGUGUCUUGUUAUAGCAAUGUGCACAGACUAAUUAACAUGGAGGUAGCUAAAUUCCUGGAUAAUCAGUUUGGAACCUCAUAGCUGAGAAGCUUACUGGUAAAGGGGAUUGUGCUGUAUGAAAGGGAUCUGUGUGGGGUAAAAAAAAAAAAAACAAAACUUUCUCAUGAAUAUUUCCCCCCCAGUCAGGAAUUUGGAAUUUUCUACUAUUUCCAGAAGAAGAGGGAAGUAAUCCCCCUCAAUAUGCUAUUUGCUUCCUUAGUUGGAGCCACUCAUUCUGUAUUACCUUCACCUAAAGAGAAUUCUUUGUGACAGUGAUCCAGCAAACUUCAACAUUUGUCUCAGCAAAGAGCUAAAAAGCAAGACAGAACAAAACGGGAAAAAACCCUGAUGUUUAAAGAGCUCACAUCCCUUAUUCCAGAAAAAAAAAAACAAAAAAACAAAACGCAAUUCAGACAAGUUUCCUGCAUCAAGAUUUGUGCUAUCUUUAACAGAAUAUAUACCAAAAUUGGAAUAGGGUUUUAAAUUGGUUUCCUGACAAAGGCUAUAAAUUUUCCUAGGUGACUCAAAUUAUUCAUGAGAAAGGGGAGAUCUUGAUUUAUGCACUAGUUUUGUGUAAAUUUCAUUUUUGUAAAGUAAAUCACUUUUUCCAUUGACUCACAUUACAAUUUGAGAUAUGCUUUAUCUUCUUUUCUGAGUAAUCUUCAAUUGACAGAGGCUCUUUGCUCAUUCAUGCAAGCUUUUAAUGACCUAAAUGCACACACUUAAAUGAAGCAUAGCCAUUUAUAGAAGCUGCAAGGGAACUUUGUAUUCAUCCAACACACACAACACAUACUGACCAAAGGCCAGCUGUAUCACAGGGAUUGUGACUUCAAAGACAUGAACUCCCUGGCUUCAAGACGCUUACCAUCUUGGGUAGAUUGAAAAAUUGCUUUGAGAAGCAAAUAAUCUGCCUCCACAAUUUGAAUGCCCUGUGAUAUUCAUAUGAUGGUUCUUAAAAUUGCAUUGUAUCACACUGUAAAGAAUUUUGUCAUUUGUUCAUAUCUGAUCUAGUGCAUAUCAGUAAAGUCGAUGUUAUGUGUGUCACUGACAUUCCCAUGACCAUUUUAUUGCUUUGGGAGGUCAGGGAUCCUUAACUUCGAAACCACAAUGCUUUUUUUUUAAAAUUUAAUUUAAUUAAUUUUUUUAUUACUCAAUGAGUUUGUUACAUUUAUAGUUGUAC
Molecule: long non-coding RNA, 6756 nt
Filed under: Sus scrofa (pig)
Lineage: Eukaryota; Metazoa; Chordata; Mammalia; Artiodactyla; Suidae
Description: lncRNA (ENSSSCG00065020683.1)
Source: RNAcentral